GUGGGUGUAGUUCAAUGGUUAGAAUGCUUCCCUGUGAAGGAAGAGGUUGUGGGUUCGAAUCCCAUCACCCACCCCA
RNAcentral lists this transfer RNA (76 nucleotides) under Patescibacteria group bacterium. RNAcentral's name for it is "tRNA-His". It matches the Rfam family "tRNA". From Rfam's summary of the family: Transfer RNA (tRNA) molecules are approximately 80 nucleotides in length. Their secondary structure includes four short double-helical elements and three loops (D, anti-codon, and T loops). RNAcentral also lists the same sequence under 1 other name. The record is from RNAcentral.